This is a long non-coding RNA of Rhincodon typus (whale shark), 2783 nucleotides long. RefSeq lists it as uncharacterized. Lineage: Eukaryota; Metazoa; Chordata; Chondrichthyes; Orectolobiformes; Rhincodontidae. The record is from RefSeq and is a predicted model, not a curated record. The transcript has 2 exons.
UACUAAUGGAAAAUGAUAAUCAAAUGAGACUAUAGUAAAGUGAUAGUUUUGAGUUCAAAUGUGGAUAUUUCUUCGUAAGUUGCAGUUAGUUGCAGAAAUUAUUAUCAUCAUUCUUUUUCUCUAUAACUUCCUCAGUCAUCAGCGUUCUUUUUCUGGUAAGCUGUUGUGGCCUCUAUAAUUUGAAAUCAGUGUUGAUUUCACAUUCCCAAAAUUAGAUUUUGUUGCAGUUACAAAACAAUAUUUUCAAAAAGAAGGAAACGAGUGGGAUCUGUAACUUGGAAGCUGCUAGCAGUUGCCCUCCAAAUGGCAUCACUUUAAAAGCAGCUCCAAGUAGCUGGAAGUAUGUACUUGUAAGCAAAUGUUCCUACGUAUACUAUUUGAAUGGAAACCUUAAAGGGACAAGGCCAAUUUAGUUACUUAUUGCAACAGCUGUGCUAUAAAAUGUAAUCCAAUUUAAGAGAAAGAAAUGGGAAAAGAAAGCCUUCCAUGCCCUUAGAAAGUCCAAAGUGCUCCAUCGUAACUAAUUCGUUUGACAGUUUAGAUGCAUCAUUGCCGUUCAGUGGAAGGGGAAAUUUAAUACACAGUUAUGCGACACAAGUGCUGCUGUAUUCUUAUGACUUAAUGACAUUUUGGUGAGAGUUAAGUCAUCCAGGUAUAUAUUUAUGAAGCAAGUAAGGAGGCUUCAGUAGCUCAGCUUUGUUCGUGACAGUCUUGUUUUUCACUUUAGACAAUGAUUAUAAAUACUAAAACAGUCUGAUUUUCCAUCUCACUUUCAAAACAAAAUCUGAAACCUUGGGUAUUUACAAAAAGAAUAAAACCAAGAGGUUUCACCGUUUAAAAACAUAAGAAUUCUUAUUAUACAAGAGUCAGACAAAGCAAACACUAAAUACUAUCUUCGCUAACAAUCGAUGACUGUACAACGAAGAAUAGCCAUAAUUGUAAAUUAUACAUUCGUCAGCAGAUAUAAUCAAGAUAAAUCUUAUGACUUGACUUCCUUAAGAAGUAACCCCCCUUUUUCAUAGAAUCCUAGAAUCCCUGCAGUGUGAAAGCAGACCAUUCGGCCAUCGAGUCCUCACCAACCCUCUGAAGAUCCAGAUGAAUCAGCAAUAGACUUAACCUGUUACAUACCUAGCAGCAUGCAAGAUUUUAAAUGUACUUUCUUACCUUCCUGUUACAGUGCCAUCGAAUUCAUCGCACUUUAGCAAGCCAGUUCAAAUAUGCACUUGUAUGGGGAACAAGUACAAAGUAUAGUCCUCAACGAGUGGGCCUGACUCACAUAAUGGAACACGAGGACGUAAUCCAAAUUGUCAAGAAGUAAAUAGUGAUCCAUGUUGCGCAAUGAGCUGCAGUAUAUCACCAACCUUCCCUUUCGCUUGCACAACAGGCAAUGUGAAAAUGGACUACUUAAAAAUUGUAAUGAAAACAUUGUGUUAAACUGCCAAUAGAAAUGGUUUGCUAUGGCAGCCCUUUCAUAUCAAAUAUACAGUGAUUCUGGUAUUCUGAUAAUUGACUGUUAAAACGAAAGCAUGUGCCGGCUAUAAAGGCCUAUACUAUACUUCAUGGCUCGUACUCAAAUCGUAGCACCCCUUUACUUGCAACACCUAUUAGUUUAUUACUGUAAUAUUUCUGUAUUGCAGAAGACUGACAGUAUUUCCAUUAUUAAUCUACUGAAAAAUAUCCAGCUAAUGUGCGAUCUACAAUAAUUCAAAUUUUUAUAUGUUCGAAUGAAGAUGAGAUCCAGUUGUUUGGGCAACAGCUUUAAUCAGGUGCUUUAGUUAAUUUGGUAUUCUCUUUCCUCAUAAUUACAGAUCAGAGCUUACAUCUUCCUAUACCAAUACGAAAACAAAAAAGCGUUUGUCCAGUUGGUCCCUUUUUUGUUUCUUUUUGUACUUUUUCCCCCCUCCAUAGUUUACAUAAAAAGAGGUGCAAUCCUUAAUUUUCUUUUUUCCUGUAAGUUGUUGACACUGGCACUUUGGUACUUAAGACAUUCAUUGUGAGAUGAGGGAAUGAAUAUCAGCGUGAUGUUCGACCAAUGGAGGAUUUCAUUGCCAAGUCUAUACCAUAUCCUUGCAAGAGACAUAGCUGCACUUUUCCAGGAAAUCUCGGGAUAAUAAGCAACAUGGUUUGCGUGCCACUCAGUUGGUGCGCUGGCAUCAAUUUAAAAGCUGCAUGAGCUUGACAGCUGAUCAAAGGAGAAAAAGUAAGAGCUGGGCUCAGAGUUUGUGGUUCUUUCUAUCACAGCUUUUCUUUUGAAUGGCAUCACUAUAAGUGCACAACAGCAAUUGACACUAAAUAGGUUGAUUAAACUUAUGGUUCUCUUAAUUAUUUGAUAAGUUUGAAAACAUUCUAAUUCUGUAUGGAUCAAUAUAUUGGGCUUGCUGUGGAACUUCGAGAAUUCUAUUGUCAGAAGGUUGUUGAAUUCACAAGUAUUCAGAAAAUUGAUGAUCCAGGAGAUUGAGCCACAUUUUGAAGAAAAACUAACAGAAAUAAACGUGUUCACCGGAGAGAAGAUUGAGAAGAGAUUUCACGCAAAUCAGAAGCAUAGAUAAUGUUGAUGUGAGUUGGAUAUUUAACAUUGACUUUGAAUAUACAACCAGAGGACUUCUGUUCAGAAUCAGCAUACUCCAAGUAUGGUUUAAGCAGUCGAGUUGAUCGUCUUGCAAAAACAAAUCAGUAAAUGUUGUUAGGAAUGAGAUGAAGUAUUAAAGGUUUGGAGAUGUAAGUAAACCAGAAUGUUACAAAGUUGGAAUUGCUUGUUUCUGUGAUUAAAAGGUAGACUGUCA